RNAcentral lists this ribosomal RNA (283 nucleotides) under uncultured soil bacterium. Its description in RNAcentral is "partial 16S ribosomal RNA". It matches the Rfam family "Bacterial small subunit ribosomal RNA", at positions 26 to 337 of the family's 1533-position model. The record is from RNAcentral.
AGAACGAACGCUGGCGGCAUGCCUAAUACAUGCAAGUCGAACGAACACUUCGGUGUUAGUGGCGCACGGGUGCGUAACGCGUGGGAAUCUGCCCUUGGGUUCGGAAUAACAGUUGGAAACGACUGCUAAUACCGGAUGAUAUCGAAAGAUCAAAGAUUUAUCGCCCAGGGAUGAGCCCGCGUAGGAUUAGCUAGUUGGUGAGGUAAAGGCUCACCAAGGCGACGAUCCUUAGCUGGUCUGAGAGGAUGAUCAGCCACACUGGGACUGAGACACGGCCCAGACU